GAUGAAGAACGUAGCGAAAUGCGAUAAGUAAUGCGAAUUGCAGAAUUCAGUGAAUCAUCGAAUCUUUGAACGCACAUUGCGCCCGCCAGUAUUCUGGCGGGCAUGCCUGUCUGAGCGUCAUUUCAACCCUCAUGCCCCUAGGGCGUGGUGUUGGGGAUCGGCCAAAGCCCGCGAGGGACGGCCGGUCCCUAAAUCUAGUGGCGGACCCGUCGUGGCCUCCUCUGCGAAGUAGUGAUAUUCCGCAUCGGAGAGCGAUGAGCCCCUGCCGUUAAACCCCCAACUUUCCAAGGUUGACCUCAGAUCAGGUAGGAAUACCCGCUGAACUUAAGCAUAUCAAUAAGCGGAGGA
This 348-nucleotide unclassified non-coding RNA is filed under the name soil metagenome. RNAcentral describes it as "partial contains 5.8S ribosomal RNA, internal transcribed spacer 2, and large subunit ribosomal RNA". The stretch from base 1 to 120 matches the Rfam family "5.8S ribosomal RNA", at positions 35 to 154 of the family's 154-position model. The record is from RNAcentral.